RNAcentral lists this unclassified non-coding RNA (436 nucleotides) under Hemiboea fangii. RNAcentral describes it as "partial external transcribed spacer". The record is from RNAcentral. Lineage: Eukaryota; Viridiplantae; Streptophyta; Magnoliopsida; Lamiales; Gesneriaceae.
UAGCAUUCCAUGUAGACUUUUGGCAAUGCAUGGCCGAAACCAAAACAACACCAAUUGUCGUUCACACAUGGCGUGGGACGCCUUUUAGGGGCAAAUAGAGACCGUGAUGCCUCGUACCCGCGAGGUACUCAAUGACCGUGAGAACGAACGUCGUGCCAUCCAUCCAACGACCCGAUAACAUUGAAGAAACGGGGGUUGGAUCAUGGCAUUCGCUUCGAAGUUCACCUCUUACCGCGAACCCAAGGGCUAGCGCAACUUGAGGGGAAAGGGCGUCAUUAAUCCAACAAAUUCCCAAAAUUUGGGUAUACAACACAAGAAACCGAGUUGGGCCAAGAUUCUUUACAAACUCCUGAACCCAAUUGCUGAAAAGGCUCGAUAGAUACAUUUUCGCUGCACAAGCAGGGAUUAAACAUACCCAUACAAACCGACCACCACU